GAUGAACGCUGGCGGCGUGCCUAAUACAUGCAAGUCGAGCGAACAGACGAGGAGCUUGCUCCUCUGACGUUAGCGGCGGACGGGUGAGUAACACGUGGAUAACCUACCUAUAAGACUGGGAUAACUUCGGGAAACCGGAGCUAAUACCGGAUAAUAUAUUUAACCGCAUGGUUCAAUAGUGAAAGACGGUUUUGCUGUCACUUAUAGAUGGAUCCGCGCCGCAUUAGCUAGUUGGUAAGGUAACGGCUUACCAAGGCAACGAUGCGUAGCCGACCUGAGAGGGUGAUCGGCCACACUGGAACUGAGACACGGUCCAGACUCCUACGGGAGGCAGCAGUAGGGAAUCUUCCGCAAUGGGCGAAAGCUUGACGGAGCAACGCCGCGUGAGUGAUGAAGGUCUUCGGAUCGUAAAACUCUGUUAUUAGGGAAGAACAAAUGUGUAAGUAACUAUGCACGUCUUGACGGUACCUAAUCAGAAAGCAACGGCUAACUACGUG
RNAcentral lists this ribosomal RNA (497 nucleotides) under uncultured bacterium. Its description in RNAcentral is "partial 16S ribosomal RNA". It matches the Rfam family "Bacterial small subunit ribosomal RNA", at positions 28 to 507 of the family's 1533-position model. The record is from RNAcentral.